GCGUUAUAGCUCAGUGGUAGAACAUGUGCUAAGCAUGCACAGGCUCUGGGUUCAAUCCCCAGCACAUACA
This 70-nucleotide transfer RNA is filed under the name Marmota monax (woodchuck). RNAcentral describes it as "tRNA.Ala". The record is from RNAcentral. Lineage: Eukaryota; Metazoa; Chordata; Mammalia; Rodentia; Sciuridae.